RNAcentral lists this unclassified non-coding RNA (286 nucleotides) under plant metagenome. RNAcentral's name for it is "partial contains small subunit ribosomal RNA, internal transcribed spacer 1, and 5.8S ribosomal RNA". The stretch from base 1 to 54 matches the Rfam family "Eukaryotic small subunit ribosomal RNA", at positions 1778 to 1831 of the family's 1831-position model. The record is from RNAcentral.
GGAAGUAAAAGUCGUAAUAAGGUUUCCGUAGGUGAACCUGCGGAAGGAUCAUUAUUGAAACUUCAUCCGGGGCGCCGCGGCCCUCAGCACCGGUGGAAACGCCGUGCUGCGGGGGCCGCGCGUGCACUCGUCCAAACCAAACCCCUGUGAACCUUACGGGAUGGCCCGGGUUAGCGCCCGGUGCCGUUCCGCUUUAUACAAACACUUAUCAAAGAAUGAACUGAAGGCGGUCUGACCGCUGGAUAACAAACUGAAACAACUUUCAACAACGGAUCUCUUGGCUCUC